AUUGAACGCUGGCGGAAUGCUUUACACAUGCAAGUCGAACGGCAGCACGGGGGCAACCCUGGUGGCGAGUGGCGAACGGGUGAGUAAUACAUCGGAACGUGCCCGGUCGUGGGGGAUAACGUAGCGAAAGUUACGCUAAUACCGCAUACGAUCUGAGGAUGAAAGCGGGGGACCUUCGGGCCUCGCGCGAUCGGAGCGGCCGAUGUCAGAUUAGGUAGUUGGUGGGGUAAAGGCCUACCAAGCCGACGAUCUGUAGCUGGUCCGAGAGGACGACCAGCCACACUGGGACUGAGACACGGCCCAGACUCCUACGGGAGGCAGCAGUGGGGAAUUUUUGACAAUGGGCGCAAGCCUGAUCCAGCCAUUCCGCGUGCAGGACGAAGGCCUUCGGGUUGUAAACUGCUUUUGUAUGGAACGAAAAGGCUCUGGCUAAUACCUGGGGCUCAUGACGGUACCGUAAGAAUAAGCACCGGCUAACUACGUG
This 484-nucleotide ribosomal RNA is filed under the name uncultured bacterium. RNAcentral's name for it is "partial 16S ribosomal RNA". It matches the Rfam family "Bacterial small subunit ribosomal RNA", at positions 30 to 507 of the family's 1533-position model. The record is from RNAcentral.